CACGUAGGGUGCGAGCGUUUGUCCGGAAUUAUUGGGCGUAAAGAGCUCGUAGGCGGUGUGUCGCGUCGGCCGUGAAAACCUACAGCUUAACUGUGGGCUUGCAGUCGAUACGGGCAGACUUGAGUUCGGUAGGGGAGACUGGAAUUCCUGGUGUAGCGGUGAAAUGCGCAGAUAUCAGGAGGAACACCGGUGGCGAAAGGGCGGGGUCUCUGGGGCAACAACUGACGCUGAGGAGCGAAAGCAUGGGGAGCGAACAGG
RNAcentral lists this ribosomal RNA (258 nucleotides) under uncultured bacterium. Its description in RNAcentral is "partial 16S ribosomal RNA". It matches the Rfam family "Bacterial small subunit ribosomal RNA", at positions 524 to 776 of the family's 1533-position model. The record is from RNAcentral.